AUAUUUUGGAAUUUUUCCUUUGCAUUUAUCUAUGUACUGUUAACCACGGUUGGAAUCGUCUACGCCCCCACAAGAGAGGUUAAUUCUUACAUGGUAGCUGAAGCUCUUUACCACAUAAUCAUUUUCUUCUACCCUUGUGUUUUGAUUGAGCUUACAAGAAGUGAAGUUGACAAAAUAAAGCUGCUAUUAACAGAAAUAUACACACUGAGCUCAGAUGACAAGAUACUCACCAAAACAGAAGAUUCCUUAAUGCUACUUGAAGUGCGUCCAUUUGAAUUAGUCGUGUUUCGCCUCAUCUCUAUUAAUAUUCGCCUGCCCUUACAUUUCUUAGCUCUCAUAACAUCUUAUGUCAUAGUUACUGUACAAUUUACUCACGUGUUUGGAUAAUUUUAAUAUUUGGUACACAACGAAGCAAAUAGAUUUUUUUAAAGUGCAAAAUACAAAAUUAAUGUAAAUUUAAUUAUUUUUUGAUCGGUAAUAACAUCUUUAUUUUAUUCCUUUUUCUUACUAAUUUAAUACUUACUUGAAAAUAAUAUUUCACGAUGUGUUUGACGACAAUUUUAGGCAUAGUGCCUUUCGUAUUCAGUUUAUUUCAUAGAAGCCAACAAUAUUAGCUUACACAGGUAUGGAGUGAUUACUUUUCGAUAAUGAGAUAAGAGAAUGGCACUAGAGACCCGACAGCACGCUGGUGGUGAUAGCGUAGGUACUGGAUUGCCCAAACAUAGUUUAUUGUAUUGAUGCACUAAACGCACUUUUGUCAUGUGUGGUUACAAUUAAACUACAGCCGUGCGAUUCUGUAACUCACUUUUCGAACUCUUACAGCGGUUUCCGUAGCGGCGGUCGCGCUC
Molecule: long non-coding RNA, 848 nt
Organism: Pieris napi
Lineage: Eukaryota; Metazoa; Arthropoda; Insecta; Lepidoptera; Pieridae
Exons: 3
Source: RefSeq, a predicted model, not a curated record